GACGAACGUUGGCGGCGUGCUUAAUACAUGCAAGUCAACUGAAGCAGUGGUAGCAAUCUCGCUGUGGAGGUGGCGCACGGGUGAGUAACACGUAGGUAAUCUGCCUUCAGGUCUGGCAUAACUCCGGGAAACCGGGGCUAAUAGCAGAUGAUGCAGCGGCUCGACAUCGAGACAGUUGUUAAAGCUAUGGCGCCUGAAGAUGAGCCUGCGUCUGAUUAGCUAGUUGGCGGGGUAACGGCCCACCAAGGCAACGAUCAGUAGCUGGUCUGAGAGGAUGAUCAGCCACACUGGAACUGAGACACGGUCCAGACUCCUACGGGAGGCAGCAGUAAGGAAUAUUGCUCAAUGGGAGAAAUCCUGAAGCGGCAACGCCGCGUGAGGGACGAAGGGCGUUUGCUUGUAAACCUCUGUAGUGAGAGAAAAAAAUCCCAAUCUUUGGGACAUGAUGGUAGCUCAAAAGUAAGCCCCGGCUAACUACGUG
Molecule: ribosomal RNA, 481 nt
Filed under: uncultured bacterium
Lineage: Bacteria
Description: partial 16S ribosomal RNA
Rfam family: Bacterial small subunit ribosomal RNA
Source: RNAcentral